Molecule: long non-coding RNA, 1441 nt
Organism: Hipposideros armiger (great roundleaf bat)
Lineage: Eukaryota; Metazoa; Chordata; Mammalia; Chiroptera; Hipposideridae
Exons: 7
Source: RefSeq, a predicted model, not a curated record
UCUGCGGCCCCUCCACGGUCCUCCAGCUCCUCUUCACAAUGCAAACUGAAGACACCCCUGCUGGUCCAAAGAGCCCGGAGCCUUGGGUCCCAGACCGCAUGUUCCGGGGUUGGCUUGUGUCCACCGGAGGUAGUUUGAGGUGUUUUCAUAAGAAGUUGGGAGCAGCUCUGUUGGCAGCUAUUAACCAAGCAUCAUAUUAAAACUGAAGUCUUAAGGAACCUUCUAAUUAAGGGAUUACCGGGGAUCACAAAGAAUAAAGCAAGGUGGACCAGAUGCUCCAAGGAACCUCAGGACCCACAUCAAUGGGACUAUUCUGGGACCUGUGAACAGACUCCAGUUCCAGGAAGAUGGUAUAACAACUGCUUAUUCAUGUUCAUUGAGGAAGAAGAAGUAGAGUAUUGCGUAAACGGAAUUGUGAAAAUUAACGCUGAUAGUUGGGUGAAGGUGCUGGUCUGCAGAAAGCACGUUCCAGAUGGUAACACCAGCAGGCAACAUCGUGCGGCUCCCAUCUCACAAGCUCGCCAGCCUGUGCAAAUUGCCCCCUAUCCCGUGGAUUCAAAUGUCCAGGCCACGCUCAUCAGGCUAAGACGUGUGGUGCAACAGCUGCUAAAGCAGUGCCAGGCUCUGUCUACCCCGGACCAGUCCACAGGGAUAAGCGCCAUUGACAAGAACAAAGAAGGGAAGAUGUGCUGGACAAAGGAGCCCUGGGGAUUCCUGGACUUUGGAAUAUAUUGAGGCUGGGUGGUGUCUAUUUCUCAGAGGCCUUUGCCCUCCAUGCAAGACAACUUGAGGGGAGCAGAGGAGAAGCGUGGGUAAGCUUUGCUUCUCAAGCCAACAAGCAUCUGGUAAGUUCCCUGCUGUGAGCAUCGCUCCACAAAAGUACCUGAGGUCAGGCAACCUAAGCAACCUCAAAAGCACCUCUGGAGUCUUCCCUUUUAAGAUACUCUGUCUGAGCCAAAUCAAUGGAACUCGCUGGUGAAAAAGCAAUUUCCCUGGAAAAUGAAUUUGGGUUUAAACCAACAAGUAGUAGCAUUUGGCAAGCCUUGAUGAGGAAAGCCAGUGUUUGGAGAAAUUGUGAAAACAGCAAGUCCUUUAGGAAAGUAAACACUGGGGGACUUAAUGCCAUUUUUGGGAUGUGACAGCUGUUCUGUCCCCACCCAUGAGUUGGGGACAGAACUGAAGCUGCAGGUUUGUUUUAAGUAUUUGCUGUUACAAACCUGUGGAUCCCCCAGGCCUCCUCUGCAGGUUUUGAAAGGAGAGAAAUGUUGAAGGUGACCCAGGCCAAACACAAUUUCUUUUCCCUGUUCAGUGUAUGAAGACACUGAAUACCCAGCGACUGGGUGGGCAGAGAUUUCCAGUAUGGUCAUUUCAUUGGUCCACAUUUCAGGCUUAUUUCUUUCUUGUCAAUGGCUACAUUUCUUGAAAAGUUUUACAUAAUUGA